GACGAACCGUGCGAACGUUAUUCGGAAUCAUUGGGCUUAAAGGGCGCGUAGGCGGGUCGGCAAGUCCGGGGUGAAAGCCCCCAGCUCAACUGGGGAAGGGCCUUGGAAACUGCCGGUCUCGAGGGAGGUAGGGGCCUGUGGAACUUCGGGUGGAGCGGUGAAAUGCGUUGAUAUCCGAAGGAACGCCGGUGGCGAAAGCGACGGGCUGGAUCUCUUCUGACGCUGAGGCGCGAAAGCUAGGGUAGCGAACGGG
Molecule: ribosomal RNA, 253 nt
Filed under: uncultured bacterium
Lineage: Bacteria
Description: partial 16S ribosomal RNA
Rfam family: Bacterial small subunit ribosomal RNA
Source: RNAcentral